GAUGAACGCUGGCGGCGUGCCUAAUACAUGCAAGUCGAGCGAACGGACGAGAAGCUUGCUUCUCUGAUGUUAGCGGCGGACGGGUGAGUAACACGUGGAUAACCUACCUAUAAGACUGGGAUAACUUCGGGAAACCGUAGCUAAUACCGGAUAAUAUUUUGAACCGCAUGGUUCAAAAGUGAAAGACGGUCUUGCUGCCACUUAUAGAUGGGUCCGCGCUGCAUUAGCUAGUUGGUAAGGUAACGGCUUACCAAGGCAACGAUGCAUAGCCGACCUGAGAGGGUGAUCGGCCACACUGGAACUGAGACACGGUCCAGACUCCUACGGGAGGCAGCAGUAGGGAAUCUUCCGCAAUGGGCGAAAGCCUGACGGAGCAACGCCGCGUGAGUGAUGAAGGUCUUCGGAUCGUAAAACUCUGUUAUUAGGGAAGAACAUAUGUGUAAGUAACUGUGCACAUCUUGACGGUACCUAAUCAGAAAGCCACGGCUAACUACGUG
This 497-nucleotide ribosomal RNA is filed under the name uncultured bacterium. RNAcentral's name for it is "partial 16S ribosomal RNA". It matches the Rfam family "Bacterial small subunit ribosomal RNA", at positions 28 to 507 of the family's 1533-position model. The record is from RNAcentral.